RNAcentral lists this transfer RNA (72 nucleotides) under Ictidomys tridecemlineatus (thirteen-lined ground squirrel). Its description in RNAcentral is "Spermophilus tridecemlineatus (thirteen-lined ground squirrel) tRNA". It matches the Rfam family "tRNA". Rfam says of the family: Transfer RNA (tRNA) molecules are approximately 80 nucleotides in length. Their secondary structure includes four short double-helical elements and three loops (D, anti-codon, and T loops). The record is from Rfam by way of RNAcentral. Lineage: Eukaryota; Metazoa; Chordata; Mammalia; Rodentia; Sciuridae.
AGGGAUGUAGAUCAGUGGUAGAGCACUUGCCUAGCAUGCAUGAAGCCCAGGGUUCAAUCCCCAGCAGUGCCA